Molecule: non-coding RNA, 213 nt
Filed under: Syntrophaceticus schinkii
Lineage: Bacteria; Bacillati; Bacillota; Clostridia; Thermoanaerobacterales; Thermoanaerobacterales Family III. Incertae Sedis
Source: RNAcentral
AUUUCAUAAUUCAGAGCAGGUGCUGUUGUCCGAAAGGGCAGGCAUAAAAGGGAAGCCGGUGCAAGGCCGGCGCGGUCCCGCCACUGUAAGGGGGAUUCACCUGACAGAGUACCACUGUCUAGUGCUCAAUGAAACUCAGUUGAGUGCAGGAUGGGAAGGUGUGAGGUGAAGUUGAACCCGAGCCAGGAGACCUACCUGUUCUACCUGGAUCAA